UGAAAAUACAUUUUUUUUAUGAUUUUGAUUUUCAGUACACAAUGGUUGACAAUGUGUUGCAUGGUUGUGGCGAUGGCAAUGUCAAUGGUUCCGUUGCAGUUGUUUGCUUGAAGUACAACGCAGAUAAAAUGGAUUGGAUCCGCACGGAUUUCUUAAAGAUAAUGGAGGCUCUUUGCUUUAUCUCUUGCCUAUUCCCAAUCGAGGAAUCUUGAUUAUGAUUAAGUCCAAUAUCCUUUAUUUGUACAAUGGAAAGAAAAUUGAGGAGGUAUCGAAAGAAUUUCCAUUCUCAACUCCUUGGUUCCAAAUCCCGUUCUGUCGCACCGUCAUCUCCAGUGAUGAAAUCUUGGUCGGGUUCUCUCGUAAGCCAUACAUCGCAAAAGGAGUAGAGCAUCCUAUCCUCGCUCAAUCAACAUCAAAACUGGGGCCGUCGACAAUAUCGUUACCCAAUCUUGAGUUAAUGAAUUCCAUUUGUGGGGCUUUUGGACCACAGGGCAAUCGCAAGGUGGCCAUAUUUGGUGGCAAUAUUUCAUAAAUGGCAAACUUGGACCGAACUUCGACCGGACCCUCAUAUUGGAUUGGAAUUCGAAGACAUUUGUAGCUGAUGGUCCCAGUCUAAAGGAUGCUUCUCCCGACAAGUGGGGGCAAACCAUUGCUAACAGAGAUACUUUUCUUUACUACAAAAUUGUCAACCUCGAAACCAGAAUUUAUAAGUUUGAUAUCAAUGGAACGAGACUCCGAUACCAUAUCUUGGAAAGAUACCAGUUACUUGCUACAAUUUGGCAAAUAUUCCUGAGGAUGUGGACGGCUGUAAGUGAACAUUGAAGGUGACCAUUGUGCUCUAGUACAUGAAAUGACAAUUCAUUGUUCACUUGAAUCUUUCUAAAUAAAUAAGCAUUAUAGGAAA
Tigriopus californicus is the source of this 904-nucleotide long non-coding RNA. RefSeq lists it as uncharacterized. The transcript has 2 exons. Lineage: Eukaryota; Metazoa; Arthropoda; Copepoda; Harpacticoida; Harpacticidae. The record is from RefSeq and is a predicted model, not a curated record.